RNAcentral lists this ribosomal RNA (207 nucleotides) under uncultured bacterium. RNAcentral describes it as "partial 16S ribosomal RNA". It matches the Rfam family "Bacterial small subunit ribosomal RNA", at positions 568 to 774 of the family's 1533-position model. The record is from RNAcentral.
UCUGUAGGCGGUUUUGUAAGUUGGGUGUGAAAGCUCCGGGCUUAACCCGGAGAGGUCAUUCAAUGCUGCAGAACUUGAGGACAUCAGAGGAGCGUGGAAUUUCCGGUGUAGCGGUAAAAUGCGCAGAUAUCGGAAGGAACACCAAUGGCGAAGGCAGCGCUCUGGGGUGGGCCUGACGCUAAGAGACGAAAGCUAGGGGAGCGAACA